Molecule: long non-coding RNA, 230 nt
Filed under: Capsicum annuum
Lineage: Eukaryota; Viridiplantae; Streptophyta; Magnoliopsida; Solanales; Solanaceae
Description: long non-coding RNA (CANN_LNC007892)
Source: RNAcentral
AAAUAUACAACAAAGUACGAUCAAGUAAUUCACUCAAUGCACUGAAAAGAAAAUCAACAAUCAGCAUAACAGUUUACAUACUUGAAGAAGAACCUGGUCUCUUACUUAGCAAGUCCUAGACUGUGUAGUAGGUAGGUUAUUUGUGUUGUAAUGAGUCAUUGUUCUAGUCUCAGUGAUCUAUAAAUUGAGUUAGGAAUUGUGUCUUCAAGUUGGGAACCUGAAGAUUUGGG